Molecule: ribosomal RNA, 253 nt
Filed under: uncultured bacterium
Lineage: Bacteria
Description: partial 16S ribosomal RNA
Rfam family: Bacterial small subunit ribosomal RNA
Source: RNAcentral
UACAGAGGUCCCAAGCGUUGUUCGGAUUCACUGGGCGUAAAGGGUGCGUAGGUGGUGGGGAAAGUUCGAUGUGAAAGCUCCGAGCUUAACUCGGAAAUGGCAUUGAAAACUACCUUGCUCGAGGGUUGGAGGGGGGACUGGAAUUCUCGGUGUAGCAGUGAAAUGCGUAGAUAUCGAGAGGAACACCAGUGGCGAAGGCGAGUCCCUGGACAACUCCUGACACUGAGGCACGAAAGCUAGGGGAGCAAACAGG